GUGCUUGAUUUAGAGGUACAUAUACUGAAAUUAGAAUACUAUUGAGAAGAUUAGCAUGGCCUCUGAACAAAGAUCACAUGCCAAUUCCUGACAUGGUCAAGAUGGUU
This is a small nuclear RNA of Grammomys surdaster, 107 nucleotides long. NCBI's taxonomy places the organism in Eukaryota, Metazoa, Chordata, Mammalia, Rodentia, Muridae. The record is from RefSeq and is a predicted model, not a curated record.